This 82-nucleotide microRNA precursor is filed under the name Bombyx mori (domestic silkworm). RNAcentral's name for it is "mir-2807 microRNA precursor family". It matches the Rfam family "mir-2807 microRNA precursor family". Lineage: Eukaryota; Metazoa; Arthropoda; Insecta; Lepidoptera; Bombycidae. The record is from Rfam by way of RNAcentral.
UAAAACCAUAUUUGUGGAGUUGGAACGUUUGCCUACGUUUGCCGCUAGGGGCGCUGUUCCAACUCCAUACAAAUUUGAGUUA